Molecule: long non-coding RNA, 227 nt
Filed under: Sinocyclocheilus grahami
Lineage: Eukaryota; Metazoa; Chordata; Actinopteri; Cypriniformes; Cyprinidae
Description: lncRNA (ENSSGRG00000024818.1)
Source: RNAcentral
UAUCUAGUAAUUCUCUGCAUCUCACAUUUCUUUUUCAUCUCUGCAUUAUUUUCCUCAGAAUCCUGUUCAGACAAAAAUAAAUGCUGCCAGUUGAAGCCUAGUCUCUGAUAGCAGUGGAGAACAACCAGUCUACUUCCCGGAAGAAUACAAGACUUCUCUGAUCUGGCAUCAGACACCUCUGUGGUUGCAGUGAGACCCCACCUGCUCAGCAACAGCUGUACAUGGAG